UUUUAGCUAUGUCUUUUUUUUUCAGUGUUGAACUGUGAGGAACUUCGAUGUACAAUCGUGCCAGAAAAAACUGUCAAAGGAAGCUGAUUAAGAGUGACAUGGUACUGAAUAAAAAGCCUGUAACAUGUUACUAGAGCAGAAUAAUCGUGGACCUGCAUAGGGUGCAUGUCGCGGCAGCCAGCAAGAUGCCAGCCACAAGUCUCAUUCAUUGGUGACUGCACCAGGUCUGGCACCCUGCUGCAUCUCCCAAGCCAUCCUGAUUCCCACUGCCUCCCUCAUGAGUGGCAUGCCGUAUGCCCAUCCCUCACUCAGCCAGGUGGUGCCUGUAGCGCCGGUAGGCUAUCUUGAGGGGUCUCUUCGAUGACCCCAGCCCGUUAGUGGCACAGAUGGCAGAUGAAGUCACAGAGGUUCUCCUGAGCCACCUGAAAACUAUUAGUGACUUUCUAGAGCCAUUGGUGUCCAGUGCUGUGUUGGUGGCUGAUGGGGAAGACUUUGUGGCCACUGCUGCAUACCAGGUACAUCUCAAGUGACUGAUAACCAUUUAUGUUUGUUAUUACAGUGCAGAACUUUGUUUCAUUGUUCAAUGCAUAAAGUAGGAUGAAGAUAAGUACUUAUAAGUACUCACUUUGUUAUAUAGAAAGUCUCAUUAGUAAGGAAGCAUAUGUGAAUUUUUUGAGUCAGGACCAAUAGUAACUAUCGGGUUUUGUUAGGUUACGUUAGGUUAAGUUUAGGAUAUCUUCAAACCCAUGAUAGCCAGCACCUUAUGGUAUAAAUCAACAAAGAAUGACAUCACUUUGUUGUAUAGAAAGUCUCAUUAGUAAGGAAGCAUAUAUGAAUUUUCCUAUACCUAUAGUAAAUGUUUGGGUUUUUGUUAGGUUAGGCUAAGUUUAGCGUAUCUUCAAACACAUGAUAGCCAGCACCUUGUGGUAUAAAUCAACAAAGAAUGACCUCACUUUGUUGUAUAGAAAGUCUCAUUAGUAAGGAAGCUCAUAUGAAUUUUAUAAGUCAAGACUUAUAGUAUCUGUUCGGAGUUUUGUUAGGUUAUUUUAUAUUAAGUUUAGGGUAUCUUCAAACACAUGGUAGCCAACUUAAAGUUUAGGCUUUAAUAAAGGGGAUGUUAAAAGGGUUUUGGUUGUAAAAGAGGCAGGCAGGACACGUAGCAACUGUUUUAGCUUAGGUAAAUUCAGAUUCAACAAAGAUAUGGGCAAUAAUUGGCUCACCAGUGGCGUGGUGGAUGAGUGGAACAGGGUUGUCAGUCAUGUCGUGGGUGCCAAUAGCCCAAUACCAUAGAUACAUUCAAGAAGAGGUUGGAUAAAUUCAUGGAUAGUGAGGGAAGGUGGGGUUAGGUUUACAGGAGCUGCCUUUUAUAGGCCAAUCAGCCUCUUGCAGACUCCUUUCAUUCUUAUGUUCUUAAAAAGUUGUUAGAAGAUGUAGCAGUAGACACAAGAUGAACAUUCUUAGGUUUAAGAAGGAGAUAGUAAAAACUAGUGUGGAAGUUGGUCGUGGAUGAAUGGGACUUAUCAAGUAGUAGUUACAUUAAUGUUAAUACAGCCAGUAGUUUCAAAUACAGGUCUGAUAGAUUCAUAGAAAAUCAGAACUAGAAUGGAUUAAACAGAGUGGGCAGAACUGUCAAAAAUAAUCCACAACAGUAAAGUUAGCUGUCUCUAAAUUUAAUAUGAACAAUAUCAAAAAACUAAAGAAUGGCAAAGGCACAAAAAUAACCCAGAGAAGACUGGGUGUUGGCAGUCAUCAGUUGAUUGCUUUAGAAGAUGCAAAUGUCAAUACCACAAAUAAUACAGAGAAGGUAGAGUUGUGGAAGGAGGCGCAGCAGCUGAGUUGGUUACAAAAUCGCCCCUUGGAAGUGACAAGCCGGGCGAGGCAAUUUGAACCCCUUUGUUGCCAAGCCACAACCCCCAAAACAGUGUUUGAAUAACCUCCCUGAGAAAAUUGCAAGCUAAUGGAAGCCACAUCACUUGCCAUUUGCAUUCGGUUUCAUACAGACCCUAAGAACUGACAGUAUGGCAGUAAUUACAUACUCUCUUGAUGCCAGUGGCGGUGGUGAACCUGCCACUACCCCACUCAUGAAACACUGAUUUCAUUAAAGACUGAAAGGCUGAGAGUGUGGCAAUAGUUAGCUUGUACACUCUCUCUGAGACUACCACACAGCAAUAGAGGGAAUAGGGACUAAAGGCUUUGUUAAUGGCCAUAAUAACAUAUUUGGCAAGAGUAACAGGAAAAGUGAGAGGAAGUGGAAAGAAAAAAUGAGAUGCUAUUUGGCAGGGAAUGGAAAGAUGCUGACAAGAAAGCAGUUGGGAAGGUAGAGCACACAGAGGAGAAUUAAAGCAAUGUAAAGUUGAGGGAGUUCAGAAGCUACCCAUAGAAGGCCAGUCCUUCUUGGUUAAUGAUCUGUUUUGUAUCAGUGUCCAGAGAAGGCCAUAUUUUGGUCUAAUGCACAGCUGAAUAUUUUUCUGUGACUAGGAUCCUGAUCAGCUUGUGUUUGGCUAACAAGAGUGGCAGCCUCUUAUAGUGUAAGUAAAGUCGUGGGCAUACACUAAACUGCAUCUUGCACACCUGCCCCUCGGCGUGGUGUUGUUGCAUUGUUCUGUCUCAGCAGCAGGGUUGUGCACAUGCAGCAUGGGCCAAGGAUUCUAACUCACCACUGUCAAGUCUGGGUGUCAUGGCAGGCACCCUUCCCCGUCUGGCUGGGCCUUGGUUGCUGGGUGGAUUCGCUGUCUGCUGCGCUUGGGUUGGUGGAGUGUCCUGAGCUGCUGUGCCCUAACUGCAGUGCCAUCCACCUCUAUUGGAACUGUUGCUGCUCUGCAUGACUGGUGAAUUUCUAGGGGCCUCUGCUUCCCAAACUGUCACCAGAGCACCACCAUGCAUUACACCAGCAACACCUGCAGUGAAGGAGUAGCCUGCCAUCCUAGAGGAGAUGACAUAACCGGAGGAGAAGAGAUAGACGAGGCCAUGAUGUGAUGGUUCACAGCUAGCCCCAGAUAAAAGGAUAGAGGUUGAUGGCAGCUAGAGCCCCGCAGAUAGAACGUCUGUGGUGAUAAUCACGGAGGAGAAGGAGACAACACAUGAGGAGGUGCCUGAGGUGGCCCUAUUUGAUGCUGCUGAUUCCAAGGGCAACACAGUGACUGGGGAGUAGCUGCUUGCAGCAGUAGUAUACUGCUGAAGCUGGAUGAUGCAGACAGCACUCAGGUACACCUUUGGGAUGUCUGACCUUGUCAACUUCCUCAUCAGUUUUAAGUGCCUGGUGGAGCAGAAGGCAAAGGCAAGUUAUAAGCACAUUCUUCAUGAUGGAGUAGCUUGCAUGCAUCUCCUAAUUGUUACCAGACCCAAAGGCUACUUCUCUGUAAUUUUGCAACAUUACCCAAUCAGAUAUUGAAAGGAACCUGAAAGAGCUUUCACAUGACAUUCAUAUCAGUGGCAGUCUCUGUUCAUGCUAAAUUAGUAUCCACCAAUACUGCUGGAUUGAGGGUUGUUAGGCCUAGGGUAUGCUGUAACUCAGCAGCAUCAGCCUGUCGGUGCCUCUUGUAUGUAUUUAGCUGUCAGUUCUCUACGCAGUAAUUUCAACUGUUCAUUUUUAUAAAAAAAAUUUGACUUUAUAUAUUUUUGAUAAGGCAUCUGGUCAAAACCAUGAAUGCUAAACCCACAGAUAAGGUAGGUGAACUAUACCUAUAUAUAUAUAUAUAUGGAAAAAGCCAUGUCUGUUAUUCCCCUUCGGUGUUACUGUGGAUAUUCUUGGAACAGCUAAGAACUAUAAUUCAGAAAUGUUGGCUCCUUUGGAGAUAUUCCUGAGAGGCUUCUAAUGUCAGUGUUAAAUAAAUUUGUGACACAAAAAGAAUACACUGUAAUGUCUUCCUUCUGUAGCAAAUAGUAAAUAAACUUGAUCUGACGGUCA
Eriocheir sinensis (Chinese mitten crab) is the source of this 3907-nucleotide long non-coding RNA. RefSeq lists it as uncharacterized. The transcript is spliced from 4 exons. NCBI's taxonomy places the organism in Eukaryota, Metazoa, Arthropoda, Malacostraca, Decapoda, Varunidae. The record is from RefSeq and is a predicted model, not a curated record.